Molecule: microRNA precursor, 88 nt
Filed under: Podarcis lilfordi (Lilford's wall lizard)
Lineage: Eukaryota; Metazoa; Chordata; Lepidosauria; Squamata; Lacertidae
Source: RNAcentral
UGGCUUCUCAGCACAGCGGGAUGAGGGAUGGAAGGGGCUCUGUGUAAGGGCUCCCUUCUGUCCCUCAUCCCGCUUUGCUGGGAAGCCA